Abrus precatorius (Indian licorice) is the source of this 107-nucleotide small nucleolar RNA. The record is from RefSeq and is a predicted model, not a curated record. NCBI's taxonomy places the organism in Eukaryota, Viridiplantae, Streptophyta, Magnoliopsida, Fabales, Fabaceae.
AUACAAUGAUGUGGACAUCUUCUCAAUAACUCUUUAUACCUCUCCCAAGCUUCAUAUAGUGGCUCUCCUUCUUGUUGCACAAAGGAUGUGAUUUCCCCUCUCAGUUU